UUGACCUCGGAUCAGGUAGGGAUACCCGCUGAACUUAAGCAUAUCAAUAAGCGGAGGAAAAGAAACCAACAGGGAUUGCCCCAGUAACGGCGAGUGAAGCGGCAAGAGCUCAAAUUUGAAAGCUGGCUCCUUCGGGGUCCGCAUUGUAAUUUGCAGAGGAUGCUUCGGGAGCGGUCCCCAUCUAAGUGCCCUGGAACGGGACGUCAUAGAGGGUGAAAAUCCCGUAUGGGAUGGGGUGUCCGCGCCCAUGUGAAGCUCCUUCGACGAGUCGAGUUGUUUGGGAAUGCAGCUCUAAAUGGGUGGUAAAUUUCAUCUAAAGCUAAAUAUUGGCCGGAGACCGAUAGCGCACAAGUAGAGUGAUCGAAAGAUGAAAAGCACUUUGAAAAGAGAGUUAAAAAGCACGUGAAAUUGUUGAAAGGGAAGCGCUUGCGAUCAGACUCGCUCGCGGGGUUCAGCCGGCAUUCGUGCCGGUGUACUUCCCCGCGGGCGGGCCAGCGUCGGUUUGGGCGGUCGGUCAAAGGCCCUCGGAAGGUAACGCCCCCUCGGGGGCGUCUUAUAGCCGAGGGUGCAAUGCGACCUGCCUGGACCGAGGAACGCGCUU
This 601-nucleotide ribosomal RNA is filed under the name Penicillium simile. Its description in RNAcentral is "eukaryotic LSU rRNA". It matches the Rfam family "Eukaryotic large subunit ribosomal RNA", at positions 1 to 602 of the family's 3401-position model. Lineage: Eukaryota; Fungi; Ascomycota; Eurotiomycetes; Eurotiales; Aspergillaceae. The record is from RNAcentral.